AGCACACUUGCGCCACAGUUGAGAUUCAUUGAGCGGUCAGACGGUUACACACACAAACAUUUUGCCCACACACACAUACCCUCAGAAAGUAGAUAGACACACUCUCAAAGUAGAGGGGUCUAAGUGGUCUUUUUGUGUGUGAAAUUGCAUGGCCUUCACUUACCUAUCUAGCACAAUAAAACACACACACACUACACACGCCACUGUAUGUCCAGGGCUAUGACAUUAUGUUCUGGCGCCAUAAAAAGAUGAAUCCUGUUCCUAAGUGUGUGUGUGUGUGUCUAUCAUCCCCUCUAGUGUAGGAGCAGUGGAACACAACACCAGUUCACCUCUAACAGAAAGUAGAGGGGUUGUGACCUGACAACUCCCACUACCUCUGUACUGUCGUGUAGAAUCUCUCACUUGCACAGCUCUGACUGAUCAUAUACGGUGGUUGUAUGGUACAUACACCGUAUGGUACCAUACACCGUCAUGAUCUCAAUGUACACAGGCAGGCUAUGUAUGGUCUAAUGCAGGGCUCUCCAACCCUGUUCCUUGAGAGAUAACCUCCUGUAGGUUAACUCCAAACCUGUUCCUGGAGAGCUACCCUGCUGUAGGUUAACUCCAAACCUGUUCCUGGAGAGCUACAUGCUGUAGGUUAACUCCAAACCUGUUCCUGGAGAGCUACCUGCUGUAGGUUAACUCCAAACCUGUUCCUGGAGAGCUACCUGCUGUAGGUUAACUCCAAACCUGUUCCUGGAGAGCUACCUGCUGUAGGUUAACUCCAAACCUGUUCCUGGAGAGCUACCUGCUGUAGGUUAACUCCAAACCUGUUCCUGGAGAGCUACCUGCUGUAGGUUAACUCCAAACCUGUUCCUGGAGAGCUACCUGCUGUAGGUUAACUCCAAACCUGUUCCUGGAGAGCUACCUGCUGUAGGUUAACUCCAAACCUGUUCCUGGAGAGCUACCUGCUGUAGGUUAACUCCAACCCUGUUCCUGGAGAGCUACCUGCUGUAGGUUAACU
Oncorhynchus keta (chum salmon) is the source of this 1003-nucleotide long non-coding RNA. RefSeq lists it as uncharacterized. The transcript is spliced from 3 exons. The record is from RefSeq and is a predicted model, not a curated record. NCBI's taxonomy places the organism in Eukaryota, Metazoa, Chordata, Actinopteri, Salmoniformes, Salmonidae.